AGUGAACGCUGGCGGUAGGCCUAACACAUGCAAGUCGAACGGCAGCACAGUAAGAGCUUGCUCUUACGGGUGGCGCGUGGCGGACGGGUGAGGAAUACAUCGGAAUCUACUUUUUCGUGGGGGAUAACGUAGGGAAACUUACGCUAAUACCGCAUACGACCUACGGGUGAAAGCACGGGAUCUUCGGACCUUGCGCGAUUGUAUGAGCCGAUGUCGGAUUAGCUAGUUGGCGGGGUAAAGGCCCACCAAGGCGACGAUCCGUAGCUGGUCUGAGAGGAUGAUCAGCCACACUGGAACUGAGACACGGUCCAGACUCCUACGGGAGGCAGCAGUGGGGAAUAUUGGACAAUGGGCGCAAGCCUGAUCCAGCCAUACCGCGUGGGUGAAGAAGGCCUUCGGGUUGUAAAGCCCUUUUGUUGGGAAAGAAAAGCAGCAGGUUAAUACCCCGCUGUUCUGACGGUACCCAAAGAAUAAGCACCGGCUAACUUCGUG
This 492-nucleotide ribosomal RNA is filed under the name uncultured bacterium. RNAcentral describes it as "partial 16S ribosomal RNA". It matches the Rfam family "Bacterial small subunit ribosomal RNA", at positions 29 to 507 of the family's 1533-position model. The record is from RNAcentral.